AAGGAUGUGGAAAAGUUCGACAUGUACAAAAUGAUGGAAGAGUUGUAGAAAUCAUGGACGCCUAUUAUGUUCCCGAGCUGAAGGGAAAUAUUUUAAGCACGGUAAGAUGUUGGGAAAAGGUAACUCAGUUAUAAUAAAGUAUCAAGUAAUGUAUUUGAAGGAUAAGCAUGGUCGUCUUGCAACCCAGGUAGAAAUAAAUAAAAAUCGAAUGUAUAAACUAGAGUUGAAGAUCUUGUAGGAGUGGUGUUUGAAGCUGGACAUGAAAUAUGAAGCUAUGAUGUGGCCCUUUCGGUUUUGACAUCUUAAUUUUGGAAGUCUGGCC
RNAcentral lists this long non-coding RNA (322 nucleotides) under Vigna radiata. RNAcentral's name for it is "long non-coding RNA (VRAD_LNC009200)". The record is from RNAcentral. Lineage: Eukaryota; Viridiplantae; Streptophyta; Magnoliopsida; Fabales; Fabaceae.